UGGGAGUGUGUCUCAUCUAGAGAGA
This 25-nucleotide non-coding RNA is filed under the name Mus musculus (house mouse). The record is from RNAcentral. Lineage: Eukaryota; Metazoa; Chordata; Mammalia; Rodentia; Muridae.